GAUGAAGAACGCAGCGAAUUGCGAUACGUAAUGUGAAUUGCAGAUUUUCAGUGAAUCAUCGAGUCUUUGAACGCACAUUGCGCCCCCUGGUAUUCCGGGGGGCAUGCCUGUCCGAGCGUCAUUGCUGCCCUCAAGCACGGCUUGUGUGUUGGGCCUCCGUCCUCCUCCCGGGGGACGGGCCCGAAAGGCAGCGGCGGCACCGCGUCCGGUCCUCGAGCGUAUGGGGCUUCGUCACCCGCUCUUGUAGGCCCGGCCGGCGCUUGCCGACACAUCAAUCUUUUUUCCAGGUUGACCUCGGAUCAGGUAGGGAUACCCGCUGAACUUAAGCAUAUCAAUAAGCGGAGGA
RNAcentral lists this unclassified non-coding RNA (346 nucleotides) under soil metagenome. RNAcentral describes it as "partial contains 5.8S ribosomal RNA, internal transcribed spacer 2, and large subunit ribosomal RNA". The stretch from base 1 to 121 matches the Rfam family "5.8S ribosomal RNA", at positions 35 to 154 of the family's 154-position model. The record is from RNAcentral.